RNAcentral lists this ribosomal RNA (253 nucleotides) under uncultured bacterium. RNAcentral's name for it is "partial 16S ribosomal RNA". It matches the Rfam family "Bacterial small subunit ribosomal RNA", at positions 524 to 776 of the family's 1533-position model. The record is from RNAcentral.
UACGUAGGGUGCAAGCGUUGUCCGGAAUUAUUGGGCGUAAAGAGCUCGUAGGCGGUUUGUCGCGUCUGCUGUGAAAACUCGGGGCUUAACCCCGGGCCUGCAGUGGGUACGGGCAGACUAGAGUGCGGUAGGGGAGACUGGAAUUCCUGGUGUAGCGGUGAAAUGCGCAGAUAUCAGGAGGAACACCGAUGGCGAAGGCAGAUCUCUGGGCCGUAACUGACGCUGAGACGCGAAAGCGUGGGGAGCGAACAGG